Molecule: transfer RNA, 73 nt
Filed under: Candidatus Nealsoniibacteriota bacterium
Lineage: Bacteria; Candidatus Nealsoniibacteriota
Also listed under: 1 other name
Description: tRNA-Arg
Rfam family: tRNA
About the family: Transfer RNA (tRNA) molecules are approximately 80 nucleotides in length. Their secondary structure includes four short double-helical elements and three loops (D, anti-codon, and T loops).
Source: RNAcentral
GCCCUCGUAGUUCAACGGAUUAGAACCGCGGACUCCUAAGCCGCUAAUGGAGGUUCGAUUCCUCCCGAGGGCA